CCAAUAGCGUAUAUUAAAGUUGUUGCAGUUAAAAAGCUCGUAGUUGAACUUCGGGGUCUACCCAUUGGUCAGGCUUAAUUGUCUGCACUGGUGAGAUGGAUCUCUACCUUCUGAGGAACUUUCAUGCCAUUUAUUUGGUGUGAUGGGAAAUCAGGACUGUUACUUUGAAAAAAUUAGAGUGUUUAAAGCAGACUAUCGUCUGAAUACAUUAGCAUGGAAUAAUGAAAUAGGACGGACUGAUUCUAUUUCGUUGGUUUCUAGGAUCACCGUAAUGAUUAAUAGGGAUAGUUGGGGGCAUUAGUAUUCAAUUGUCAGAGGUGAAAUUCUUGGAUUUAUUGAAGACUAACUACUGCGAAAGCAUUUGCCAAGGAUGUUUUCAUUAAUCAAGAACGAAAGUUAGGGGAUCGAAGACGAUCAGAUACCGUCGUAGUCUUAACCAUAAACUAUGCCGACUAGGGAUCGGACGAAGUUAUUUAUAAUGACGCGUUCGGCACCUUACG
RNAcentral lists this unclassified non-coding RNA (500 nucleotides) under uncultured Diversispora. RNAcentral describes it as "SSU rRNA". It matches the Rfam family "Eukaryotic small subunit ribosomal RNA", at positions 591 to 1092 of the family's 1831-position model. Lineage: Eukaryota; Fungi; Glomeromycota; Glomeromycetes; Diversisporales; Diversisporaceae. The record is from RNAcentral.